AUGGAGAUCGAAAUAGCACCCGACUCCCCUGCCCCCAUGCCGCGCUCCGGCGACAUCGCGGUCGCCGACGGGACCGCGACUCUCUCUCCGCCACCGUCGCCGCCACAGGGCCCUGCGUCGCCGUCACCGUCCCUCUCUCCUCGGGAUGACGUGCUCCCCCUCUCCCCUCCCCGCAACAGCCCCGCCCGGCGCCGCCGCUCUAAGCCCCUUCGCGCCGCGGUCGUCGACCAAGGCGCGGGCGCCGUCGGGUCUCCGCGAAGGAAGCGCCGCGGGGCGGGGGAGCCGCGCACGGCCGCGUCGCCCGGGAAGAACGUGAGGCGAGCGCGCCGGCGGCUGGACAACGAUGGCGGGAGGGAGUUGACGGCGAACGAGGCGGCCGAUGAGGAAGCGGCGGGUAAGACCCAGAGAAGAAAGACCGCGGCGCAGCCUCUGACAGCCGUGAAGGAGAAGAAGGGUUCCAGCUUGGCUUUGGUGCCAUACCCUCCCAUCAAUCCAACCCGAGGUGCAGAGAAUGUAGAGCAGUUUGAUUGGGAAGGUCUUUGGGAAAGGGUUGUUGACUUGGUGAUGUGGAAGAAUGUUGGGAGAUCAGCAUUUUGGUUCGGCUCUGGGUCCAUGCUUUUCGUCUCUUCUUCCUUUUCAAAAGACGUCAAUUUCAGUCCAAUCAAGAUACUUUGCCAUUUUGGUGUUGUGACAUUGGUCUUAGCUUUCUUCAAAGAUUCCAUUCCUCAGAGCUGUAACAGGCAGAACACUGAACAAGUAAGGAGUUUCCAGUUGACUGAGGAAGAUGUGCUCCGGGUUGGCCGAGCUGUCCUGCCAAUUGCUAACUCUCUCAUAUCUAUGUCCCGAGUGAUCUUCUCUGGUGAUCCAUCCAUGACUCUGAAAGUGUUUCCUAUUCUUCUAUUUGGUGCUAAGUAUGGCCAUCUGUUCACAGUAUGGAGGCUUCUAGCAACAGGAUUCUUUGGUUGUUUUACACUCCCAAAACUCUAUAGCUGCUAUUCAAGUCAUAUUCAUGAAAAAGUUGAAGGUUUGAAUGCCCGGAUUCUGAAUGCAUGGAAGUCCUGUCCCCGCAAGAAACUUGUUGCAGCUGCUGCAGUGACGACCUUCUGGAACUUGGUUAGUGUGAAGACACGUGUAAUGGCUGCCUUCGUAUCUGCGGUAGCGCUGCGCUACCACUAUCAGUAUGGACGAAGUAGCAGGAAUUCAGAGGGGGUAAUACGGCGGCAGGAGCAGCAACAAGCAAUGGUUCUCGAAGACUGA
RNAcentral lists this ribosomal RNA (1257 nucleotides) under Triticum aestivum (bread wheat). RNAcentral's name for it is "partial small subunit ribosomal RNA". The record is from RNAcentral. Lineage: Eukaryota; Viridiplantae; Streptophyta; Magnoliopsida; Poales; Poaceae.